GGAAUAUUGGUCAAUGGAGGGAACUCUGAACCAGCCAUGCCGCGUGCAGGAAGAAUGCCCUCUGGGUUGUAAACUGCUUUUAUCCGGGAAUAAACCUCACUACGUGUAGUGAGCUGAAUGUACCGGAGGAAUAAGGAUCGGCUAACUCCGUGCCAGCAGCCGCGGUAAUACGGAGGAUCCAAGCGUUAUCCGGAUUUAUUGGGUUUAAAGGGUACGUAGGCGGAAGAUUAAGUCAGUAGUGAAAGCCUCCCGCUCAACGGGAGAAUUGCUAUUGAUACUGAUUUUCUUGAAUAUAGUUGAAGUAGGCGGAAUACGACAUGUAGCGGUGAAAUGCAUAGAUAUGUCGUGGAACACCGAUCGCGAAGGCAGCUUACUAAGCUAUUAUUGACGCUGAUGUACGAAAGCGUGGGGAGCGAA
Molecule: ribosomal RNA, 417 nt
Filed under: uncultured bacterium
Lineage: Bacteria
Description: bacterial SSU rRNA
Rfam family: Bacterial small subunit ribosomal RNA
Source: RNAcentral